This 1372-nucleotide ribosomal RNA is filed under the name uncultured bacterium. Its description in RNAcentral is "bacterial SSU rRNA". It matches the Rfam family "Bacterial small subunit ribosomal RNA", at positions 28 to 1381 of the family's 1533-position model. The record is from RNAcentral.
GAUGAACGCUGGCGGCGUGCCUAAUACAUGCAAGUCGAGCGAACGGACGAGAAGCUUGCUUCUCUGAUGUUAGCGGCGGACGGGUGAGUAACACGUGGAUAACCUACCUAUAAGACUGGGAUAACUUCGGGAAACCGGAGCUAAUACCGGAUAAUAUUUUGAACCGCAUGGUUCAAAAGUGAAAGACGGUCUUGCUGUCACUUAUAGAUGGAUCCGCGCUGCAUUAGCUAGUUGGUAAGGUAACGGCUUACCAAGGCAACGAUGCAUAGCCGACCUGAGAGGGUGAUCGGCCACACUGGAACUGAGACACGGUCCAGACUCCUACGGGAGGCAGCAGUAGGGAAUCUUCCGCAAUGGGCGAAAGCCUGACGGAGCAACGCCGCGUGAGUGAUGAAGGUCUUCGGAUCGUAAAACUCUGUUAUUAGGGAAGAACAUAUGUGUAAGUAACUGUGCACAUCUUGACGGUACCUAAUCAGAAAGCCACGGCUAACUGCGUGCCAGCAGCCGCGGUAAUACGUAGGUGGCAAGCGUUAUCCGGAAUUAUUGGGCGUAAAGCGCGCGUAGGCGGUUUUUUAAGUCUGAUGUGAAAGCCCACGGCUCAACCGUGGAGGGUCAUUGGAAACUGGAAAACUUGAGUGCAGAAGAGGAAAGUGGAAUUCCAUGUGUAGCGGUGAAAUGCGCAGAGAUAUGGAGGAACACCAGUGGCGAAGGCGACUUUCUGGUCUGUAACUGACGCUGAUGUGCGAAAGCGUGGGGAUCAAACAGGAUUAGAUACCCUGGUAGUCCACGCCGUAAACGAUGAGUGCUAAGUGUUAGGGGGUUUCCGCCCCUUAGUGCUGCAGCUAACGCAUUAAGCACUCCGCCUGGGGAGUACGACCGCAAGGUUGAAACUCAAAGGAAUUGACGGGGACCCGCACAAGCGGUGGAGCAUGUGGUUUAAUUCGAAGCAACGCGAAGAACCUUACCAAAUCUUGACAUCCUUUGACAACUCUAGAGAUAGAGCUUUCCCCUUCGGGGGACAAAGUGACAGGUGGUGCAUGGUUGUCGUCAGCUCGUGUCGUGAGAUGUUGGGUUAAGUCCCGCAACGAGCGCAACCCUUAAGCUUAGUUGCCAUCAUUAAGUUGGGCACUCUAAGUUGACUGCCGGUGACAAACCGGAGGAAGGUGGGGAUGACGUCAAAUCAUCAUGCCCCUUAUGAUUUGGGCUACACACGUGCUACAAUGGACAAUACAAAGGGCAGCGAAACCGCGAGGUCAAGCAAAUCCCAUAAAGUUGUUCUCAGUUCGGAUUGUAGUCUGCAACUCGACUACAUGAAGCUGGAAUCGCUAGUAAUCGUAGAUCAGCAUGCUACGGUGAAUACGUUCCCGGGUCU